GAGCUCACUCACCUCGUUUAGACAGGUAAGCUGCAGUGAAGACGACCAGGUUCAUUCGCCCUUCUGUGGUAGUGUUGUGGAUCUGUUGAAGUAGCUAGGAGUUUGUCUUCAAACAUUGGCAACUGUCUCUACUGGGAUGAGAUGUGCUAGGCCAGCCAGUUCCGUGCCAGGCUGUCAGUGGUGUUGAGGUGUGUGUGUCCGGGCAAGGUGUGGCCUUGUUUGUGUCGGAGUGUGUACGCAGGACCAGGUUGUCUGUGUUGUGUUGCACACUGUAGAGCUGAAGGGAGUUGAUAGGACGCAUUUACACCCACAGGGGACACUGACAGAGGAUUACUGCUGUGGAUAAUUACAUUACAGAUUGGACAUCUUUACAGUGCACCUCGGAUGACCCUGCGAUGGAGCUUUGAUGAUAAUAUGACUCAGCUAUUCAUCCCGUCAUGUGUGGAUUGUGGGAGUCUCUGAAAUAAUACAGUGCAAUAACUAACUGAGGUUGUCACCAUACGAUGAGAGAUGUCUGUGAAAAGCUACAGCGGUUGGAGUGAUCACAGCAAUGGUACACACAGCGCAGCCGGCUCCCACUCCUACCUCCACAAUGACACCUACAGCAACAAAUACCAGGGCAGUAACGCCUGGUGGAGUGUCGGGGAGUUCCUCAAACCCGGACUAACCCAUCAGAGUGUUGGUCUCACACUCUCCAACAGCAGCAACGAUGAUGAGACUUGGGACCUCUCCGACUCCCUGGCCGACCUCUACAUGGAGGUCAGCCAGCGGGAACAUGAGGCGACAGAACGUCUUGGAGGUGGAAGGGACAGAAGGGAACAUCGCAAGGUGGAUAUUCAGGCAUGGCUGGAGAAGGAUACCAGUCAUGGCUGUAUUCGUGUGUUCAAUUCAGACUCGGAGGAGAAUUCGCGAUUGUUUCCCUGUACAAUAGCGACAACUGCUCAGAAAAUCUGUAUGCAGAUUGGGAUACCGAGCAACUCUCUGCAUAUUCAACAGAAUGGUGAUAUCAUUCGUCGUCUGGAACCGUUUGACUGUCCACUAGCAAUUCAGAAUGAGUAUCUCUCCAGCCUGGGCCUGACCGACAUUAAACGAGUGCAGGAGGAGGGCCCUGAUGAUGAUCUGUGUUACCUGGUCAAGUUCUAUGCAGGCAAGCCAAUCUCUGACAGCACAUACUCCCGGAGUCAGCUGUCCUCCUAUGCCUACCUCCGCAAGGGGAAGUUACUCCACCAGUGGGUGCGGCGACUGUGUGUCAUCACUGGAACCAGACUACUUAUAUACAGAGAUCGCAAUGCCAAACCUACAGUUGUCCAGUUGGCGAAAGGCUCUGUGGAAGAAGUGCAGGUCAAAGGUCAGGAACACUGUCUGAAGCUAACAUCGACCAUCCAGGGUGAGAGGUCGAUCUACAUCUCCUUCAUGAAUGCCGGAGAGUACAACAAGUGGAUCAAGAAGGCGAAAAAGGCAACAUCCAAGCUUCCAACCAAGGCUGACUUGUCCAACUGCCAUUUGGAGUUCCUGCCAGAGACAGUCUUCAUCAACGAUGACCUCGAGAUCCUCAUCCUGAGGCACAAUGUCCUGCGAGAACGGCCCAUUGAGGAGGACAUCUACACAAUUGGAUGGCUGGAUGAUUUGCCAAGGUUCACCCACCUCCGAAGUCUCAACCUGGCAGACAAUGGUUUGGUCAACUUCCCCCAGGCCGUUUGUCGGAUGCGAACCCUGACUGAGCUGAAUGUUGCUAGCAACAAACUGGAGGAGGUCCCCUCCCAAAUAUCAGACCUCACCAACUUACAAGCACUACAUCUUCACAAUAAUAGACUGUCAUCAUUGCCGGAGGAAAUAGCUCAAAUGAAGAGACUCGUUGUCAUUGUGCUGGCAUUCAAUCGUUUUACAUUUAUUCCCAGUGUGUUGUGUCAGUCGCAGCAUGCAUCAUACAAACUGGACAGCCUUAUCAUGGCAGGAAACCAAAUAUCACGUUUACCCACAGACUACUUAGACCAUAUGACCCACAUCAAAAAGAUUGAUCUCAGAAUGAACAAACUUCAACUUCUCCCGACAGAAACUGCUCGGUUUCAGUCACUAGAUCAUGUGACUCAUCUUGACAUUCGAGACAACGAGAUCAUCGACCUGGACAUUCGUGCAAUUCGUGCUCUGGAGUAUUUAAACUGUGAACGGAACAUGAUUCGAAGCCUUCAGAUCAAUGGAUCAUCGUUAAAGAACAUCUUUGUUUCACAUAAUAAAAUUGAGAGUAUUUCCAUCAACCCCAAGCCUGAGUGGCUUGUUUCUAUGGAUGUGUCCUAUAACCAGCUCAAAGAGGUUCCCACAUGGCUGGGUGACUGUUUCUUCCUAGUACGACUGGAUCUGAGCCACAACAACAUCGCUCGUCUACCUGACAGGAUGCUGACUGAUGCAAGGAAGCUGAAGAUCCUGCGUGUGAACCACAACCAACUGACGCUGCUGCCCGCGGACAUCAAGCACUGCCUCAUCGAGGAGCUGCACCUGGAGAGGAACCUCCUGACCCAGCUGCCUCCCGACCUCUUCAUCCGGGCCAACAAACUACGCUGCCUGAACCUUACAGGCAACUGUCUGGUGGAUCUGCCAGCACCGAACCGUAACGACACUUACAACAAGUUGCAGGAGCUGUACCUCACCUCCAACAGACUCACCAACAAGGCCAUAUUUAAAGUGUGCUGCUUCCCUCGACUCCGUGUCCUUCACCUCGCCAAAAACUGCAUCACAGAGAUCAAAGACAGUGAGUUCCAGAAGCUUGAGCAGCUCCAGGAGUUGAACGUGUCCUUCAACAGCCUCCGCUUCCUGCCCGUCUGUCUCAGCAGACACACCAAGCUCCAGGUCCUACGGGCCAACGCCAAUCUCCUGCAAGAGUUACCUAACUUCAGGAACUCUUCCAGUCUUAAGGUGUUGGAGGUUGGCACUAAUCGCCUGGAGAAUGUCAGCAUGGGCAACUUGAUGACAUCUAAGGUCAAUCUCCUUGACAUCUCUGGAAACCCAAAUAUCUUCGUCAAUACAGACGAACUGCAAGGAAUCAAGAAUGCCAAGAGAGUCUGUAUGAUAGACAUGCGAGGACAGAACCGGUCUCUUAACAAUGUCUCCGCAGUGGAGGCAGAACUCAGUUGGCAGAGUGGGUUUUCACAGACAUCAGGCAUGAGAAACAAGCUUUCAGUGGCAAUGCUUAAUAAAUCCAAGUUCAGCGAAGCUGGAGAUGCCCUGUUUGGGAUAUUUGAUGGUGGUCGUAAUGAUGAAGUUGCUAAACUGAUGAUUGAGUUGACACCAGCGAUUGUCGCGGAGGAGAAAGAGAAAAUGCCUACCCAGGAGGGUUUCCUGAAGUACACCAUGCUCUCAGCUCACAAGAAGAUCAAGUCAGUGGGGCAAAGAGUUGGAGCUGCAGCUGCCUUGGUACACAUACAGAAACACCCAAACCAUCAUGACCAAUAUUCCCUGUGUGUCGCCAGUGUUGGGGACACCGAGGUGGUGCUGUGUCGUCAAAACAGCCCCGUCUGUCUCACCCGUCAGUUCACUGUGUCACAUGACAAAGGAGAGUGUCAGAGAGUCAUUAACUCUGACGGUAUCAUCACAGAGGAUGGUCGUAUCAGUGGGGUGACAUUCAACACUCGACUGAUUGGCUGCAGCUACCUCUUCCCCCAGGUGAUCCCCAGUCCCCACAUCACAUCAACGACCUUGACUUCAGAAGACCAGAUGAUCAUCAUUGCCAAUCAAGGUCUCUGGCGAUACAUGUCACACCAGGAAGCUGUCCGUGAGAUCAAUGACAUCCCAGACCCUGUCAUUGCAGCCAAGAGACUGCAGGAUCUUGCUCAGGGGUAUGGAUCUCGGGAGAAUAUCGGGAUCCUGGUGGUGAAGCUCCUGCUGUCUGACGCAGAGAGGUUCCGGAUGAGUGAGAUACUGCGGACGCAGAUGCAGGGGCAGAAGCAGCUGCUGAACAAACUGCGUGAGCAGGCAAAUGUAACACAACUUCAUGCCAUACCUGCAGUGUCCGAGUUGGGUGGAAUUGUCAUCGACAAAGCAGGAAGAGUCAAGAAACAUAGAGGAGAGAGGCCAAGUUUAAGUGUUAAGCCAACACCUGCUCCAAAUAACAGGUAUCGGAAGAAGGAUGCAAAUCCAAACUGGGAGACAGUACUCCAGAAACGGUUGGCUGAUGAGGUGAAAGACAAGGAGAUGCAGGAGAUGUUCAAAAUCACAGAGGAAGAGGACAACCAGGAGGAAUUAGAGGAACCAAGAAGCAACUGGUCGACCCUGACCAAGAAGCGAGAGACAGCAUCAGAGAGCGCUGCUAUGAAUCAGAAGCAGAUGGCACAGAGAAAUCCCAUCCCUUCAGCCAACACUUCUGCAGUGAAGCCAAUGGUCCGGACAGCAUCCACAGACACCAUCACAUCACUAGAUGAGUUCUAUCGCCAGCCCAUUGUCACUGCAAACAUUGACAGAGAUGCCAUCCUGUUUCAUCAGAUGCAGAUGGCAAGAGCUCAAAGCAUCAGUUCAAGCAGCCUUGAUUCAACUCAAUCUGACCCCAUGUAUGCCUCAGUGAGGGAAGUGUACAGAGGUCCUAGAGCUCCAUCUAGGAGUAUUGAAGUGCUGGUACACACCCCGACUUCUGAUGAACAGAGGCUUCAACCAGUGCGUGUGCAUCGGCGACCAGAGAAGGCAGUAGCUCCUCUACAACUUGACCCUAAGAUGGAAAAGUCUGGGAAGGCUGAGGAUGACAUUGAUGCUAUUGAAUCUGAGAUCAUCGAAAGCUUCCAUGCCAGCAUAGAGGAUCUGUAUGCAAGAGUCAUGAAAAAGAAACAAAGUAUAAUGGAGAAAGACCUAAGUAAGGUGAACCUUGUUAAGUUCAAUGGCUCUGAUGACACUCUAGUUGGGGACUAUGAAGAAGUGUAUGUUCAGCAAAGCCACCCUCAUGGCCCAGGGUACCAGGAAGCAGUCACUGUCAUUGAUGACCUAACAGAUCUUGAUGACACCAUUGAUGCUGCUGAAGAUGAAAAUGGUGUUGGCAGCCAUCAAGAUCAGGGGGCGAGGAAACACUCCCCAACUCCUGCAGGUGUCACCAGGUUCCCUAGUCAACAGAGUGUCAUUAUCACAUACUUAUAGGACACUGUAUCAUUGCUACAUAUCACUUACUUAUAGAACACUAGGGUCAACAUUAUUACAUACUUUAUGUGCACACACACCUGCACCACCUUGGAGCAUACUAGACAUGUAUUUAGAAGCUUUAUAGGUGAUUAGGUAUGCUAAGUGUAAAUAUAUUCAACACCAUUUAAACCGAUUCAUUUGGUGAUAUGUUUUCCAAAAAAGAACAUGACCACAAAAUACACAUUGUUUCUCUGAUUAUAUUCAAAUUCAGUUUCAAUUAGAUGUUAACAUGUGAUUAUUAUUUGUUUCCCUCUUUUUACUAAAAACUUAUAAUACAUCCAUCCAUACUGGACACUUAUAUCCUUAUAGACCAUUGUGGUCAAUAUUGCAACAUAUCACAUACAUAUGGAACACUGUGAUCAAUAUUACAACAUAUCAUAUGCUUAUACUGAUUGAACACUGUGUUUGAUUUUGCAACAUUAUCCCAUUCCUAUUUGACACUAUUGUAGAUUUUGCAAGAAUAUGACUUUCUCAUAGUGCCUAUUGUAGAUACUGUAGCAACUCAUGAAAGAUGGUAGAUAGUGUGACUUCACUGCUUAUGUAUAGCAGACAAUGGUAGAAAAUACAUUAUCACAUACUUAUGGCACCAGAUGGUAAUUAUUGAAGCAUUAACACCUACUUACUACAUACAACACUACCUUAAAGCUCAUGUUAUAUAAUGCAACAACAUUAUAUCACAUUGUUGGAUACUGUAGCUCAAUGAGAAGCAUAUUUGUUUACAUAUUGUGUUCAGAUGAAAUGGCAUAUUGUAUAUAAAAGAUUUGUGAAAUGUCAUAACGUAGUUUGCAUAUAUAUUAAUGGAGGCACUGUCAAUUAUCAUAGUAGAAAUACAGUGCCACAUUAAACAUUAAUUUGAAUCAGUUCACAAAUUCUUUAGGAUAUUAAUAUGUGUUAUGGAGAAAACUUACACAUAAACCUUUUGCCCAGUGAUACAUGCGAUUAACAUAUGUAAGAGAUCAAUUAUUGUCUAUUUAUUCAAAGGCAUUUGUACAUGGUAUGCAUGUGUGAGGAUAAAUGGUAUAUAGAGGCACUAUGGUAAAAGCUAAUGAUGAGGGAAACUAUUUUGUCAUGGCAUCAUUGCUCUGUGAAAAACAAUGGUUCCAAGCUACAGUACCAGGUGGAACUUGGUCAUGGAAGCCUAGGUACCUCUGUAACUGAUCUACAGCACUUCAGAUUGACAGAGGGCUAGGAUACCUACCCCUGAAAACUAUAAGAAAAAAUCCAUUUCUGACCAACAUGGUCCACAGCCUUGUAUGAUUAAUACCUGACCCAUUUCUUUUUCUUUUAAUGGGUCACUUGAAUUGUUAGCAUGCACGCCAAUCUGAAGUUGAGGACAUUGUUUUACAAAGCAAUCUUUACGCUAUGACUGUCGUAAGUCUAUGUUAACGUAUGUGAGUUACAACUGUCCUCGCACUGAGGUCACUUUGUGGAAAAGGGGUGAUCGGGUAGCCUAGUGGUUAAAGCGUUCGCUCGUCACGUCGAAGACCCGGGUUCGAAUCCCGACAUGGGUACAAUGUGUGAAGCCCAUUUCUGGUGUCCCCCGCUGUGAUAUUGCUGGAAUGUUGCUAAAACUGGCGUAAAACCAAACUCACUCACUCACUCACUUUGUGGAACAGGGCCCUGAUUAGUAGUGUGACAUGGAUCAGCAUAAUAAAGAAUUGUCACACAACUGUCAAGGGCCUGUUUCCACAAUAUGAGGUCAUGGCUACAACUACAUGUACCACCUGUGUUAAGGUAUGAGUACAACAGCAAUAGGGGCUAGGAUUAGCUUGAUGAAGGUCGUCCUGGUCAAGAGAAACAUUUCAUUUGGAAUCAUAAUAACAGUUGGUUUUAUUGUGUCAUUGUGAUGCUUAUGAAGCAAGGCCAAAAUAUUUGUAAACUUGGUUAAUGAAUCCAACAUCUCGAAAUAUUUGAAUGUAAAGUUAAAAAUUAAAAGCAGUUUGUUUUCAUUCUGCCGACAAGAACAGCUAGCUGUUUUAAAAAAACUCUUAUCAAUACGGAUAGAUUAUUUACAAUACGAUAAUUAGAACAUGUUAAAAAAAUUAUCUUAUAAACUUCAAAACAUAACAUCUUGUGACGAAUCACAAGAAGAAAUACAAAAUAUAUAUUUGUAAUUGGACUUUUUAUAUUUAUGUUUUUUCAACCUACAGACCUGACAUUUUGGGGUAAAAAAUGAAACAAAAAUGUCUGACCAUACCAUGUCAAUGACCUGAAAUGAUGCAUAUCAUUAUUGAUCCAGACGAUAGGAUUGUACAAGUAACACAUUAGUGCUAUUAAGUAUUGAAGCAUUCUUUUUGUGUGACAUAUGACAGUUCCAAUUUUAUAUGUACAUACAACAUAGCUGAAGAGUAUGUCUUUAUAUGUCUUUGUUUGUCUAUGUUUGUAUGAUUUUGUGUCUGAUGUUAAUCAAAUUGUCAAAACAUAGUGAACACUGUUUAUGAUAAAUAUACUCCCGACUAACAGAUGUACAUAUAUGCUUUACAGGACUUUUAACAGAUCACAGACUGACAUAAUUUUCCAUAUAUGUAUGGAGUUAGUAGUGUACAUUUUAAUUAUAUCACACUGACCUUAGGUUAUUUCAUGACCAUGUAUAUAUUCAUAAGAUGGAUACGAAUAUGAGCUUGAGCAUAUUUUACUUGAAAACAUUUUUAAUAUCUAUGUAAUUGUCAGUUUCAAAUAUUGAACAAUUAUACUCCAACAUACAGUGAUACCUUGUUUGUCCAGAAGUCCUGUCAUCUGGACAAUUAUGGAUGCAAGCAAAUCAUUUACUUUUAACACAAAUUAACAUUUUUUAUCCCUUUUUUUAUCCAGAAAGAAAUAUUAAUAAUUUGGCAAAAUUUUUCUCAACUAUAUGGACAGUCAUUCAAUGGACAGCAACAUUACAAGGCCCAGCUGACUUUUUUAUUUUUGUCACUCGGUGAACAUAUCCAUGGUUCAGUGAUCAGCUUAAAGGUAGUUGUGUAAUGAUAUGGGGAUAUAGUAUUGUAUCAUGAUAUGAUGGCCACAAUACCAUACAUUGAUAUAUGACAACUGUAUUGCUAUUCAUAUGAUACAUUUCAUUACGUGUUAAUAUGACGUAAAAAUAUGUGAAUAAUAACAGAAACUGUUCCAACCACCUGCUUCUGCAGAUUCCCUAGUAUUUCAUGGUUGGAUAUAAAUAGCAUAACAUUCACAGUGCCUCUACCAAUAUGUUUCUGCCCAUCCCACAGUAUCCCAUCUUUGAUCUCUAAAAUUUAAUAACAAUUGAUUCAGGGUUGUGAUUCACCUGCAAAAGGAAAGACUAUCAUCUUGUGAAAAAAAAGUUCUGUAUUGGAGUACAAAUCGUUUCGCACCCAUAGUAUCGGGAUAUAUAUCAUAUCAGAACCCACUGUAUCGUUACACCGCUACUUAAAGGACUGGUAUCCUAACUGACCUGCUUCUACUAAAUACAGAAAACCGAUGAUAUACUAAAUUGUAAAAUGAUUGGGAAUAGGUGCUGUUAUCUGAUUGGUUGAAAUAGAUGAUUAAAGGGGAUUUGAAGCCCAGAAAUCUCCUGAUUGCAUGUAGUCGUCUGUUUCUCCAAAAUUCAUAUCUCCAUAGUCCAAACAAUUUGAAGUUAGGAGCAAGCAGUAAGAAUUCUUUACACCACGACUGCAGAAUCUUGUGUUAUACCAUUCCAUGACUGUAGGAACUGGUGUUUAUACCCAGGUGGAGAAUCUAGUGUUAUACCAUACCAUGACUAUAGGAACUGGUGUUUAUACCCAGGUGAAGAAUCUAGUGUUUAUAUCCAUCUGCAGAAACUAAUGAUAUGACAUAUUUGCAGAUGCUAAAGUUGAUACCACUGCUGCAGUCCCAAGCGUUAUAACUCAGGCAAUAACUAGUAUUUAUAACACAGUUGGAAAAAUGGAAAUGCAUAGAUAAGAAUAUCUGGUUGUCAGUCGAUCAACCCGAUUUCUUUUAUCCUUUCCCUUGUGAUAGAAUGAUAUAGGUAACCAGUUCUCUGAAGUAUGUAUCAUUCAGUGCAUUUGUAUGUGGACAUUAGCAGCUGUAUUGUCAUGCAGCGGGGCAUGUGGGUUUCAGUGCAUAGCAAUCCAAGACCAUCAACUCUUACUUGGAUAUGUGUAAUUGAUGAUGAAUUCUGUGACAAUUACCCUCUCCUUAACAUUAAGUUUCAGACAUAACUUUCAUAUUAGGACCCAAACCUUAUAACAGUAUUUAUGUUAACAUGUAGUGUUUAGUGAAUCAUGGACUUGCAGAUUAUUUCUGUAAACAAGUUAAAUGUGUCUGUACUAACUAGUGUUGGGAAUUAGUUGUAAAAUCAUGAUUGAUGAUUAGAUGAUCCCAAACGAUCGAUCAUCCAAAUUAAUCAAUUAGCUCAUUUUGCUGUUUUUUUAUAUUAUGUUCAGUAAAACGAGAUCACACCUAACAGAAACAAAUACUUAUUUCAGCACUUUACCUUUAGACAAAACACUACUGGACGCAUUCUUUCUCAAAAGUACUAUGUAGGAUGUAGUGAAUAAUCCUUCUCAGAAAAUAAAUCUCUUUUCAGUGUUAUAGAACACCAACACAAUAUAUUAUAAUCUAUUUUAUUGAAGGAUAGAACAGUUGAGAACUUGAGAGGCAGUGUUUGUUUAUAGAAAAUUAUGGUUGCUUGAUCGUUUGGACCUUCUGAUCAAUCUUUGAUUAUUUCACUUAAUAAGAACACCACUGGCACUAACAUCAUUAUAAACACCAGGUUAUGAUAUAUUGUACUGGAUGUAUUCUGAUUUUAUUGAUGUUGUAUUUGACAAAGAUGGUUGAGUUUCAUUCUGCUAUCUCUAAAACAGCAUAUUCUGAUAAUAUUGUUCAUAAUUGUUAUCAUUGUUUUUUCUAACCAUGUAAAUAUCAUCAUCAACACCAGUAAAUAACCAGUCUCAGUUAUCCACUGAAACAGAUUCCAAUGAGCAUAAAGGACAAAAUAGCGUGAAAACUAUAUGAAAUGUAUGCAUCCAGGGAGUUAAAUGUUGGCCUUAAAUAUUUCAGUGCAUAGUGUUGAAAUACAGUUGAUUUCAGAUAUAACAGUCAGAUAUAAUAAAGGAUAGAUAUAAGAUAAUUGUCCACAAGGUCCAAUGUCAGUUUUUAGAAUAUUUACAUGUAACGAACCAGGAAAAGUGAUGUGAGCUAAAUCAGUUCCAGUGUUAUCAAGGUCUUUUGUAUUAUUUUUAUUUUAUUAAUUAAAUCGGAGUCUGUUAUAUACAGCACAGACUGUAUCAACUGUCAGUGGCUUAUUUCUCAUGCAUUUCCUUUUAAUUACUUGGUUUUCAGAAGCACUGACCAUAAAUAUCACAAACUAACCUCUUCACUUUCAACAAUUCUUUUAGAAAUAUCUUUUGUAAACCAGCAAUAUGUAAACCAAAUAAUCAUAAAGAGAUUUCUUAAUUAACUUGUAAUAUCAAAAUGCAUUUGGGAAGAAUAAUAUGAAUACGAAACGUCUUUAAUAUGAGGAACACAACGUUUCGGAGUAUAUGCUUACCCCUUCAUCAGAUGAAUGAUAAAGGAUUAAGCAUAUAUUCCGAAAUGUUGUGUUCCUCAUAAUAAAGAAUUUGACAUCCAUAAACUCUCUUCCUAACUUCUAAAUGCCUUUAAAAAAAUAAUUAUAAAUAAAUUCUUAAAUUAACUUGUAAUAUCAUAGUGCAUUUGGAAGAAUAUAGAAAUAUUGAUAAGUAAGCAGUAAAAUAAAUAUGUUGAAGUGAGCACUAUUAUGUAAUACUGCUCACUUAAGAACAUGUAUUCUAUUAGAUGCACUAUGAUAGUAUCAAUCCAUAAUGUACUAGUGUGUAAUUGUUAUUUACUUCAAACAGCUUCCUCCCAUGUACACCUAUUUCUUCAGUGCCUCCAGACCGACCAUUAUGCAUUAACCGCCUCAUAGAUUGUAAUUACAUACACAAACAGGUGCUAUGUUCAACUUGCUGUACAUAAUGUAUGAUAUGCUUCAUAGACAGAUGUGUAAAUAAAGUAUUUGUGUAUA
Molecule: unclassified non-coding RNA, 11140 nt
Filed under: Haliotis rufescens (red abalone)
Lineage: Eukaryota; Metazoa; Mollusca; Gastropoda; Lepetellida; Haliotidae
Description: pH domain leucine-rich repeat-containing protein phosphatase 2-like, transcript variant X3
Source: RNAcentral